RNAcentral lists this ribosomal RNA (621 nucleotides) under Enterococcaceae bacterium RF25. RNAcentral describes it as "bacterial SSU rRNA". It matches the Rfam family "Bacterial small subunit ribosomal RNA", at positions 111 to 718 of the family's 1533-position model. Lineage: Bacteria; Bacillati; Bacillota; Bacilli; Lactobacillales; Enterococcaceae. The record is from RNAcentral.
UAACACGUGGGUAACCUGCCCAUCAGAGGGGGAUAACACUUGGAAACAGGUGCUAAUACCGCAUAAUAGUCGACACCGCAUGGUGUUGAUUUGAAAGACGCUUUCGGGUGUCACUGAUGGAUGGACCCGCGGUGCAUUAGCUAGUUGGUGAGGUAACGGCUCACCAAGGCCAUGAUGCAUAACCGACCUGAGAGGGUGAUCGGCCACACUGGGACUGAGACACGGCCCACACUCCUACGGGAGGCAGCAGUAGGGAAUCUUCGGCAAUGGACGAAAGUCUGACCGAGCAACGCCGCGUGAGUGAAGAAGGUUUUCGGAUCGUAAAACUCUGUUGUUAGAGAAGAACAAGUGGGAGAGUAACUGCUCCCGCCUUGACGGUAUCUAACCAGAAAGCCACGGCUAACUACGUGCCAGCAGCCGCGGUAAUACGUAGGUGGCAAGCGUUGUCCGGAUUUAUUGGGCGUAAAGCGAGCGCAGGCGGUUUCUUAAGUCUGAUGUGAAAGCCCCCGGCUCAACCGGGGAGGGUCAUUGGAAACUGGCAGACUUGAGUGCAGAAGAAGAGAGUGUAAUUCCAUGUGUAGCGGUGAAAUGCGUAUAUAUAUGGAGGAACACCAGUGGCGA